Molecule: transfer RNA, 86 nt
Filed under: Nematostella vectensis (starlet sea anemone)
Lineage: Eukaryota; Metazoa; Cnidaria; Anthozoa; Actiniaria; Edwardsiidae
Rfam family: tRNA
About the family: Transfer RNA (tRNA) molecules are approximately 80 nucleotides in length. Their secondary structure includes four short double-helical elements and three loops (D, anti-codon, and T loops). Further hydrogen bonds mediate the characteristic L-shaped molecular structure. tRNAs have two regions of fundamental functional importance: the anti-codon, which is responsible for specific mRNA codon recognition, and the 3' end, to which the tRNAs corresponding amino acid is attached (by aminoacyl-tRNA synthetases). tRNAs cope with the degeneracy of the genetic code in two manners: having more than one tRNA (with a specific anti-codon) for a particular amino acid; and 'wobble' base-pairing, i.e. permitting non-standard base-pairing at the 3rd anti-codon position.
Source: Rfam by way of RNAcentral
CCUUCGAUAGCUCAGUUGGUAGAGCGGGGGACUGUAGAUUUAUAAUUGUGAUCCCUAAAUCGCUGGUUCUAAUCCGGCUCGAAAUU